This 398-nucleotide ribosomal RNA is filed under the name bacterium enrichment culture clone ALO1_GLFRUDD03GAK8E. RNAcentral's name for it is "bacterial SSU rRNA". It matches the Rfam family "Bacterial small subunit ribosomal RNA", at positions 9 to 407 of the family's 1533-position model. RNAcentral also lists the same sequence under 1 other name. The record is from RNAcentral.
GAGUUUGAUCCUGGCUCAGAUUGAACGCUGGCGGCAUGCCUUACACAUGCAAGUCGAACGGCAGCACGGGAGCUUGCUCCUGGUGGCGAGUGGCGAACGGGUGAGUAAUGCAUCGGAACGUAUCCUGGAGUGGGGGAUAACGUAGCGAAAGUUACGCUAAUACCGCAUAUUCUGUGAGCAGGAAAGCGGGGGACCUUCGGGCCUCGCGCUCUUGGAGCGGCCGAUGUCGGAUUAGCUAGUUGGUGAGGUAAAGGCUCACCAAGGCGACGAUCCGUAGCAGGUCUGAGAGGAUGAUCUGCCACACUGGAACUGAGACACGGUCCAGACUCCUACGGGAGGCAGCAGUGGGGAAUUUUGGACAAUGGGGGCAACCCUGAUCCAGCCAUGCCGCGUGAGUG